Molecule: non-coding RNA, 29 nt
Filed under: Rattus norvegicus (Norway rat)
Lineage: Eukaryota; Metazoa; Chordata; Mammalia; Rodentia; Muridae
Source: RNAcentral
UAUAAAAAUGAUAGGUUGAUAAUCUGUGA